This 727-nucleotide long non-coding RNA is filed under the name Mustela putorius furo (domestic ferret). RNAcentral's name for it is "lncRNA (ENSMPUG00000024668.1)". Lineage: Eukaryota; Metazoa; Chordata; Mammalia; Carnivora; Mustelidae. The record is from RNAcentral.
CCAACCAUUCGCACUCACUUCUGCUUUCAAUUUUAAUGUCAUUUCUUCCGAGAAGCCUUCUCCGGCCACGCUGUUCCCUCUCGCACGUGCUCUGUCUCCUUCUCCCCUCUUCCGUAUCAAACUGACCACGACUUAGAAUUAUUUAUGUAUUUGUGGAUUUAUUCUUUCCUAUGUCUCUAUGCCCCCAGGUGGCUGUAAACUCCGAGGGGUCAGAGAUCACACCUGUCGGCGCACCCGUCAUGCCCAGAACCCGGCCCAGUGCUUGCUACACAAGAAAAAUGACAGGGACUCACUUUCCAAGAAAUUACAGUACGUUCAAUGACUUCCCAUCAAGAGCGUGCACUGUUCCGUGUCCUGCCAUUGGUAAGUAUCAAAUGGGCCCAUGUCAGACAAGGCAUGGCUUUUAAUCUCCCUUUAUUCGCCGUGUCACCUGUCAGUGACCUUGACUGUUGCCGACUGCCUCAUGUUCUGCAGUUUACUGAUAAGUGUGUUUACGGCUUUUGAAGUCAUGUCUGCCGAAAACCACAUCUGGUUCACCGCCGCCUCCACAGACACACAAUGAAAUAUAAAGGCUAAUUCUGCGGUGUACACAAUCCGUGUCUGUCUUCCCAGAGGAUUCCAGAUGGCGUGAACUCAGCAGAGGCAGCUCACUGAUGGCUGGCGAUUCUGGGGGAGGAGGGAGCACGGGGUGCAACCUGAAGCCUUUGCUGAGCAAAGGGGGUACCAC